AAAUUUUUUUAAACGAGCAUUAGAUGAAAAUCUUGACAAAAAAAUAAGGGACGUCACGCUACGAAAAGUUAUAAGGAGGCAUAGGCUUGUGAUUUAUAAAUAUCCCAUUAAGAGAAAACUCAAAUAAUUUAUAUAUAAAAAGUGUGAACUGAAUCAUCUUAGUAACAUGAGAAUAAUCAAACGAGAUAUCGUUAAUAGUGGUGAAUGAAAACGAUAAUAUGACUUUUUAAGUUAUAAUUUUAAUUUACAAUUUUUUGGUAGACCUAAGAAGGUAAAAGUCCUGUAUUAAAUGAAAAUUAUAAUUAUUUAAGCUAAGUAAUAUGGAUUUUAAUUCUGUAUGAACAAAGGAGAGCCACCUUCUAAGUCAUAAAAUUUUUUUGAUCGAUAGUGUACGAGUACCGUGAGGGAAAGAAAAAAUAUUUCAGAAGAAAUAAAUUUGAAAUCUAAUGUUUAUAAGUGUUCGGAAUUUUAAUUAAUAACGAAAUGCCUUUUGCAUAAUGAGUCAGUAAGUUAAUAUAUAAAGCAAGCUUAAGCAUUAAUGUAUAGGCUAACUAAAAAAGUUAUAUAUAUUAAACCUGAAGUCAAGUGAUCUAACUGUGAGCAAGUUGAAAAUAUUUUAACAUAUAUUGGAAGACUGAACUCACAUAUGUAGCAAAAUAUGGAGAUGACUUGUAGUUAGGGGUGAAAGAUCAAUCAAACUUGACGAUAGCCGGUUUUUCACGAAAUGUAUUUAAGUACUACAUUAUUAAUAUUUAAAUUAUGAGUAGAGUACAAAUUAAAUAAGGGGAUGUAAAAAUUUACUAAAUUUAAUUUAACUCCUAAUUAAAGUUUAAUAUAUAAUAAUAGACAGUCUUUAAGCGAUAAGGUUUUGAGACGAAAGGAAAACAAUCCAAAUCGAAUACUAAGAUCUCAAAAUUAUAAUUUAGGGAAGAAAAUUUUUAAAAGAAUCAAAUAAUUUUUUGGAUAGGCUUAGAAGCAGCCUUUUAUUAGAGAAAGCGUUUUAGCUCAAUAUUUUUUCUUUAAGAAUUUAAAAUGAAAGGAGACUCAAAAAUUAUAUAUCGAAGUAACGGAUUAAUUUUAAAAAAUUAAUGGUAGUGAAACGUUCUGUAAGAUUUUAUUAAUUGUUAAAUCAAUAAAAAAAUAUCAGAAGUGCUAAUGCUGACAUGAGUAGCGUAAAUUAUGUUAAUAAAUCAUAAUCACUUUAUGUUUAAGGUUUUCAAUGUACUUUUAAAUACGUUGAGUUAGUCGGUCCUUAAGAGGUGAGUGAAAACUGUACUUGAUAGGAAAUUAUACUAAUUAUAUGUGUUAGAUAAACCUAACAUGAAAAAAAAUAAACUUUAUUUUUUUGUUAAAUAAGGUAGAAAAAAACUAUUUUUCGAGAAAAAAUUAUAAUAUUUAAAAACCGUACCAAAACCGACACAGGUAAACUUAUCGAGAAGAUUAAAGUGAAUGAAUAAAUCAUAUUGAAGGAACUUGGCAAAUUAACUCUGUAUGUUCGCUAUAAAGAGAGCCUUAUUUGGUGUAAUAAAAUAGAAAGUAACGACUGGUUAUCAAAACCACAGGACUCUGCAAAUUAUUAUAUGAAGUAUAGAGUCUGAUGCCUGCCCAGUGCUUAAAAGUGAUAAAUUUAGGUGUUUAAGCUUAAAUUUUAAGUCUAAGUAAACGGCGGUUCUAACUAUAAGAAUCCUUAGGUAGCGAAAUUCCUUGACGGGUAAAUUCCGUCCUGCAUGAAUGGCGUAACGAUUGCUUUACUGUCUCCAAUAUGAAUUCAGCGAAAUUACAAUACCUAUGAAAAUGUAGGUUACUUACAGUAAGACGGAAAGACCCUAGAUCCUUUACUCUAUUUUUAUAUUGUAAAAGUUAAAAGCUUGUAAAGUAUAAGUGGGAGUAAAAUUGAUUUUUACGCUAAUGAAAUACCACUCAAGCUUUAGAUUUAUUACUAAUUUUUUAUAAAAAAGACCGUAUAAGAAAGGGAGUUUACUUGGGAUGAGUACCUCCUAAAAUGUAACGGAGGUGUACGAAGGUAAUUUACAGGUGUUUAAUAAACAUUGCAGUGUAUAAUGGCGAAAAAUUGCUUGACAAUUAGACCGAUAAGUCGAAUUGGGACGUAAGUCAGUCAUAGUGAUCCGAUAAAAAAGAGUGGAAUUUUUAUCGCUUAACAAAUAAAAGGAACUCUAGGGAUAACAGAUUCAUCGUGGUCGAGAGUUCUUAUUGACACCACGGUUUGAUACCUCGAUGUCGACUCAUCUUAUCCUGAAAUUGCAAAAAAUUUCAAGGGUCUAGUUGUUCGCUAGUUAAAAAGGUACGUGAGUUGGGUUCAGAACGUCGUGAGACAGUUCGGUCCCUAUCUACUGUGAGAAAGAAAAAAAAGAAGUUUAUUUCUAGUACGAGAGGAUCGAAAUAAUUUAACCACUGGUGUAUUGAUUGUUUUGCCUAUAGCAUUGUCAAGUAGCUACGUUAAGAAAGUAAUAAGUACUGAACGAAUCAAAAGUACAAAAACAACUUUUUCAUUUUUCAUGAAUAAUCUAAAAGAUCAUUAGAUAGAUCGGUUUAAAAACUUAGUUUGGUAACAAACGUUUAAUUUAUACGAAUUUAUUCAAUAUAAAUUUUA
This 2611-nucleotide ribosomal RNA is filed under the name Asparagopsis taxiformis. Its description in RNAcentral is "large subunit ribosomal RNA". It matches the Rfam family "Bacterial large subunit ribosomal RNA". The record is from RNAcentral. Lineage: Eukaryota; Rhodophyta; Florideophyceae; Bonnemaisoniales; Bonnemaisoniaceae.